RNAcentral lists this ribosomal RNA (366 nucleotides) under uncultured eukaryote. RNAcentral describes it as "partial 18S ribosomal RNA". It matches the Rfam family "Eukaryotic small subunit ribosomal RNA", at positions 592 to 976 of the family's 1831-position model. The record is from RNAcentral.
CAAUAGCGUAUAUUAAAGUUGUUGCAGUUAAAAAGCUCGUAGUUGAAUUUCUGGCGGGCGCGCCGGUCUUCCAAGUGUUGUACUGGGCGCAGUCCGCCAUCCUUGUGGAGAGGGCUCGCAUUGAGUUGCGUGUCGGAUCUGCAUCAUUUACUGUGAAAAAAUUAGAGUGUUUAAAGCAGGCUGUCGCUUGAGUACGUUAGCAUGGAAUAAUAAGAUAGGACUUCGGUCUAUUUUGUUGGUUGCGAACCGAGGUAAUGAUUAAUAGGGAUAGUUGGGGGUAUUCAUAUUUAAUUGUCAGAGGUGAAAUUCUUGGAUUUAUGAAAGAUGAACAACUGCGAAAGCAUUUACCAAGGAUGUUUUCAUUAA